AGAGCGAACGCUGGCGGCAUGCUUAACACAUGCAAGUCGCACGGGCAGGGCAACCUGUCAGUGGCGGACGGGUGAGUAACGCGUAGGUAUCUAUCCUUGGGUGGGGGACAACUGUGGGAAACUACAGCUAAUACCGCAUGAUAACCGAGGUUUAAAGGCGCAAGUCGCCUGGGGAGGAGCCUGCGUACGAUUAGCUAGUUGGUGGGGUAAAGGCCUACCAAGGCUGCGAUCGUUAGCUGGUCUGAGAGGAUGAUCAGCCACAUUGGGACUGAGACACGGCCCAAACUCCUACGGGAGGCAGCAGUGGGGAAUAUUGGACAAUGGGCGAAAGCCUGAUCCAGCAAUGCCGCGUGUGUGAAGAAGGUCUUCGGAUUGUAAAGCACUUUCGACGGGACGAUGAUGACGGUACCGUAGAAGAAGCCCCGGCUAACGUUCGUGCCAGCAGCCGC
RNAcentral lists this ribosomal RNA (449 nucleotides) under uncultured bacterium. Its description in RNAcentral is "SSU rRNA". It matches the Rfam family "Bacterial small subunit ribosomal RNA", at positions 26 to 518 of the family's 1533-position model. The record is from RNAcentral.